This 76-nucleotide transfer RNA is filed under the name marine sediment metagenome. RNAcentral describes it as "tRNA-Ala". It matches the Rfam family "tRNA". From Rfam's summary of the family: Transfer RNA (tRNA) molecules are approximately 80 nucleotides in length. Their secondary structure includes four short double-helical elements and three loops (D, anti-codon, and T loops). Further hydrogen bonds mediate the characteristic L-shaped molecular structure. tRNAs have two regions of fundamental functional importance: the anti-codon, which is responsible for specific mRNA codon recognition, and the 3' end, to which the tRNAs corresponding amino acid is attached (by aminoacyl-tRNA synthetases). tRNAs cope with the degeneracy of the genetic code in two manners: having more than one tRNA (with a specific anti-codon) for a particular amino acid; and 'wobble' base-pairing, i.e. permitting non-standard base-pairing at the 3rd anti-codon position. The record is from RNAcentral.
GGGGCCUUAGCUCAUCAGGAAGAGCGCUGGUUUUGCAAGCCGGAGGCGGUCGGUUCGAGUCCGACAGGUUCCACCA